UCGGGAAUUUUGGGCAAUGGGCGAAAGCCUGACCCAGCAACGCCGCGUGAAGGAUGAAGUAUUUCGGUAUGUAAACUUCGAAAGAAUAGGAAGAAUAAAUGACGGUACUAUUUAUAAGGUCCGGCUAACUACGUGCCAGCAGCCGCGGUAAUACGUAGGGACCAAGCGUUGUUCGGAUUUACUGGGCGUAAAGGGCGCGUAGGCGACAAUUCAAGUCAUCUGUGAAAUCUCCGGGCUUAACUCGGAACGGUCAGAUGAUACUGCAAAUCUCGAGUCCGAUAGAGGUGAGUGGAAUUCCUAGUGUAGAGGUGAAAUUCGUAGAUAUUAGGAAGAACACCAGUGGCGAAGGCGGCUCACUGGAUCGGUACUGACGCUGAGGUGCGAAAGCGUGGGGAGCAAACAGGAUUAGAUACCCAUGUAGUCCCUGAGCGGGCUGGCAAGGCGCAU
RNAcentral lists this ribosomal RNA (447 nucleotides) under uncultured bacterium. RNAcentral's name for it is "bacterial SSU rRNA". It matches the Rfam family "Bacterial small subunit ribosomal RNA", at positions 355 to 825 of the family's 1533-position model. The record is from RNAcentral.